This 465-nucleotide ribosomal RNA is filed under the name Vreelandella stevensii. Its description in RNAcentral is "partial 16S ribosomal RNA". It matches the Rfam family "Bacterial small subunit ribosomal RNA", at positions 338 to 795 of the family's 1533-position model. Lineage: Bacteria; Pseudomonadati; Pseudomonadota; Gammaproteobacteria; Oceanospirillales; Halomonadaceae. The record is from RNAcentral.
CCUACGGGUGGCAGCAGUGGGGAAUAUUGGACAAUGGGGGCAACCCUGAUCCAGCCAUGCCGCGUGUGUGAAGAAGGCCCUCGGGUUGUAAAGCACUUUCAGUGAGGAAGAACGCCUGGUGGUUAAUACCCAUCAGGAAAGACAUCACUCACAGAAGAAGCACCGGCUAACUCCGUGCCAGCAGCCGCGGUAAUACGGAGGGUGCGAGCGUUAAUCGGAAUUACUGGGCGUAAAGCGCGCGUAGGUGGCUUGAUAAGCCGGUUGUGAAAGCCCCGGGCUCAACCUGGGAACGGCAUCCGGAACUGUCAAGCUAGAGUGCAGGAGAGGAAGGUAGAAUUCCCGGUGUAGCGGUAAAAUGCGUAGAGAUCGGGAGGAAUACCAGUGGCGAAGGCGGCCUUCUGGACUGACACUGACACUGAGGUGCGAAAGCGUGGGUAGCAAACAGGAUUAGAUACCCGAGUAGUC